Molecule: non-coding RNA, 808 nt
Organism: Labrus bergylta (ballan wrasse)
Lineage: Eukaryota; Metazoa; Chordata; Actinopteri; Labriformes; Labridae
Source: RefSeq, a predicted model, not a curated record
AGUAGGCCUACUCCUGCUGCUCUACUCUACAACACUGCACACUCUGCUAGAUCUGCUGGUCGUUAAGUAGCAAGUAGCUCACCUGCGCCGGUCAUGUCUUCAGAAGGACUUUGUAGAGGAGUAUUGUUUGGCUGCUCUUCAUUUAGAGGUUCUUCAUCCUUGUACUGUAGCACAAAGUUGAAGCUGGAGUUGAGUUUACCUGUUCUAGUGCUGUGAAGGCGUUGCUAAGAGACGGAGAGAAGCUGAUUCAUUCAACAAACUAGGCAGAGGUCUAUUAACCUUCCACACUAAUGGGCAAUUUUACACCGGGUGCCCAUGCCCAAGGGCCGAGGAGGGGUCGGUGGAGGAGAGCCACAUACUGCGGUGUGCGGAGCCUGUGGACACCAGUUGUUGACAAAGCAGCUGAACAUCGUCUUCAAGAGAUGCAACACUCCAUCCAUCACCUGCCACACAUUUUCAAUUUCACAUUCUCUCUGUGAUGAAUGGGUGUCUGCAGUUCCAGAGGUGGUGGGAACUAUCAAUACUGUGAUAAAAACUUUGGAAAAAUAAACAACACCUCCAUGCCUGUGUGCACCUGAAUGCACCAAGUGCUAUUUGAACAUUGUGUUGUUAAUUGGAACAUUUUUUUUUUUAAGACGUGUUUUUGCAGCAUCAUUUGAUGACUGAAACCAAACACAGAUCCAAACAUUUCAUCUCCUAUCUCUUCUGAAGCUCCUCUAAAUGAUCCAACAUGCUCUAUUAAUCAUUGAUGGCUUUGUAAUGUAAACACAAGAUGGCACUCACCAAAUACAGUGCGGGCAGGAACAGA